RNAcentral lists this long non-coding RNA (7920 nucleotides) under Homo sapiens (human). RNAcentral's name for it is "HSALNT0119101". Lineage: Eukaryota; Metazoa; Chordata; Mammalia; Primates; Hominidae. The record is from RNAcentral.
ACUGAUAAAGGUCCAAUUUUGAGAGAGAAAACACAGUAAUUUGAAUAGGAGAAAUUUAAUAUAAAGGUUUGCCAGCUGUAACAGGUAGCUGGCAUUAUAAGGGAGUGGCUAAUAAAAGUUAAGAAAACUCAGAAGAACAUAGGAAUAGAAGACAGAAGGGGCAGCCACUACUCCCAGGGCUGGACUGGGGAACUUGCUUUAAAUCAGCCCUUUAGGAUGAAAAAGGACAGAAGACGCUGCUCACCAGGAAUUUCUCACUAGAGGCACUUUCCUACAAAACCACUUGAAGAGGUGCCAGAUUGCUUUUUACUGAAAGAAUGCAACAAAGAGAGCUGCCAAGAAAAUACAGUUAUUCCCCCAAAUAGUUCAAAGAACUAUGCCAGUUACCAUGGACACCACAUGUUGAGAUGCUAAAGAGUCAGAAUGGGUCUGUGAGUGAUUAUCUGGAAUGCUGGACAUGUAGAGUUUGUAUGGAGAGUGAGUACUGCGCUAGACAUGGAACAAAUAGAGACCAAAGACAGCAAGACUGACGGCAGCUCAACGGGGGGAGAUAUAAUUCUUAUUUUUUUCAUCUUCCUUCAGGCACUGUAGAAGUCUCGCAUAUAUGAUCAUUUAAAAUUUCGCUGAAGUCAUGUCUGAAUUCUGCACACUGCCUUAUGGAUGUGGGAGAGGUGACUAAACUGAGUCAACGCAGUCAACCACCCAGGACUUGCAAUUCCAGGGGGUUGCAUCCACCUAACCCUCCGGGGUUCUGGCUUCGGAUAGUGUUUGAUCAAUGGAAGCAACAAAAGAAGAUUGGAGGACAUGAAGACAGGUUACUGGAUGAUAUUCGACAUGAGCUGCAAUCCUCCAUCUGAGGUCCCAACUUUUCCAGAAGGCUUCUGUCCUGUUGCGCUCAUUGGAUUCUGCAUUAUGGGAUUCUCUUGAAGUGUGUGAAGAAUAAUGAGCUAAAUAAAGAGGAAAAACAAAAGAAAACAAAAACUGCAGGGACUUUUAUAACUAUCAUUGAUUGCCAGCUUAAGCCUGCUGGACUCUUCACAAAACUAUAUAUGCUUCAAGCUUAAUAUUUAAUUUUGUAAUUGGAACAUUUAUAAUCAUAUUAUGCAUUUAAUAAGGAUGCUCUAAUUCAGAUUUACUAUUAUCAGGAAAUUAAAUUUGGAGUUACAGUAAUGCAUGCAUAUAUAUGUGUGGGUGUGAGUGUGCAUAUACCUAUAUAUGUAUAUACAUAUAUAAAGUAAACGCCUUCUUUUAACGUGUGUUUUAAGUAUAGCUUCCAUGUCCUAGUUAAUUCAGCACCCUCCCUUUUAUCCUUUCCUUGCCAUUGUCCUCUCUACUAGACUACAAUAAAAACAAAAAACUAUGAAAGUAAGCAGCUUAUAAUCAUAAUUUUAAUCAAUGUAGCCUAUGCAAGCUUUAAGAAACAUACGUCUAACAUCUUAGAAAGAAAGCUUAUGAACACAAACAGCAGAAUACUUAAAUACAUUUGAAACAUUCACAUUGAAUUGAUUCUACAAAAUUUUGAAGAGCAACAGCUUUUGAAUUUAGAGCUAUAAUCAGUACCCUAAAGUUUUUACCACUGAGUUACUACCUAGUAAAAAUAUGUUAUAUUUGCAAUAAAAGUACACAUUGUAAGGACAUAAGAAUUGUCAUCAAGGUACACAAACAUUUUAGAAUUAUUAAACAUUUAAAUAAAUGGAAAUUUUAAAAAUAAAAUAACAAUAUUAUCAUACAAGUUAAUGAUCCAGUUUAUUAAUUUCUAAUUCUAUUGAUAAAACAAGGGAUUAUUUUUGAAAGGGUUUUUCUAUCUUUCAUACAAACCCUUUCCAAAAAUGUAUAGAUACAGUACGGAUUCUACCUGAUCAUUCUUGUGCAUAUGGUGAUGUAAGAAACCAAAAAAAUGUAAAUUAUUUUCAUAACACUGUGAAAACCAAUAUUUAAAAAUACAGUGCACAAUUAGUAGUGAGUAACAUAUAUAAAUUUAGAAAUAUUAUAUUUCUGUACACAAAGUAACAUUAUAAAUGAAAGCUUCAGGAAUAAUGAGCUACUUAUUAUUCCGGAAAUUAUAUAUCAAAAAUUUCAAAUAUAGAGGAAAAUUAAAAACCCACUCAUGACCCAUGAAAAUUAAUAACCCAUUCGAUCAUACACUUACCAUGUAACUUUCUGUUAAUUUGGUAAUAAAUAAUGUCAAGAGAUUUUAAAUGAAAAUACUUAUUCUGAAACAUAAAAACAACAUCUGAGAUGAGCACAAAUGGAUCAAUAGAUACAUUAUUGAUUAUUUUGUAUCAUAAAAUACUAUCUAGUACAACAUUCUUUAAAAAAUUCAAUAUUUUUAUAAUGUAAGUAAAACGGGAAGAACUGUUAGAGAAAUGGGCAUCAGAUUUAGAUUAAUUCUGCCUCUAACGCAAAUUGUAGGCUGAGCCCUAUAUGUUCUUGACCAUUCUAAGUUUUACUACAUUAAAACACAUAAAAUAUUCUGCGAGGUUUUCUCCAAUGGGAUUUUGAAUCUCACUGAUGACUGUGAUUUAGGAGUAAUGUAGAGAGUUUUGCAACUAACUUUACUUUACACCGUUACUCCUUUUCUACUUGGGGGUUCAGUUCAACACGCUAGUAAAAGAAAUAGUCAUGAGAGCAUCCUAAGGAAAGUAGGCAAAAUGUUAGUGCCUCAUUAUAUUUACAAUCUUUACAAAACAUGUAUGUCAGUAAACCAUAUUAACAUCUAAAGCACAUGAUAUGUAGAAACAAAUUGUGACUACAAAAUGUGUCUUGUUUCUUAAAUAUGCUAAAUAGGAAAUAAAUCACAUCUACUUCAAUUUUUAAUCUGUGGACUUUGGCCUUAGUUUGUGUUUUAUUUUAUUUUUUUGCUUUUGAUUUUAACCACUGAAAUCAUUUACCAAUACUAUAAGCCAGGAAAUACAAUGUAACUGGCCAGUUGAGAAUUAAGCCUUCUCUUUUUAUUAUUACAAUCAAGGGGGGAAAUGCUUAUAUAUCUUCCUGCACAAAAUGUUUCAUUUAUCAAAAAAAAAAGUGAGAAAAAUAAAGAAAAUUUGGGUGAGAUAAAUAAUCCACAACUAUUAAUUCAACAGAUAUUAUUUAAGAAAUUCCUACCUGUAAUUUAUUUUCUAAUAUUUCUGCAUCCUUAGUAUUUAUCGCUCAAAGAUAUUUGCAGCCCUCAUAGCAGUGCUUGGAAAAGAGAUUUGCUCUGAAAAUUUAGAAAUAAAUUCCUGAGGUGAAUACAGUUCAAAACUAAAAUAUAUUGCUGUAUUAUAUUGGUUUUUCUCAUUUGAAAUUAAAAUCUAAAAAACCUUCAUAUUAGGUUGUGUGUGUCAAGCUGCCAUUAUAAAAACACUAAAUGAAUAAAAUUUCGCAAGCAAGGCAGCAUUAUCAGGCUAAGUACAUGUAGUGGGCUUAUAUAUGGUGAUGUUUUACAUAAUUCAGCUAUUAAUUCAUCUAUAGAUUUACAUUUCUUAAGUGCAAAAAAAAAUGUAAUUAUUUCAUUACAUAUGGAAUUCACCUCCCAAAUUUCUCAGAAUCUAAGAGAAAGGAUUGACAUUUUCUGAUAUUUCAUUUUUGCUUAAAAUUAAGUUCUUAGGAUGUUUAGAUUUUAUUAUAAAUAUUACAACUUAAAUUCCAGAGUUAUAAUGAACGGUCUAUGUUUUGAAACACAGAGGGAGAAUGGGGUAAUGACUGAAGUACUGUUUUUUCAGUUUAUUAGUAAAGAUCAGCUUAUAAGAUGUCAUUGUAAAGGUUUCUAUUGAUAAUUACCAUAAACAAAGAUUAAAACUUUAAAUACUAAGUUCUGGAUUUCUAAGCCCGGUGAAAGUUUGUGCAAUACCAUGCCUUGCAUUUAUGAUUUUUCUUUUAAAAUGAACUAUAAAUGAAGAAAUUUACACAGAAUUGGAAACUAUUCCUACUUUUAUUUGCAUUCUUCCUUCCAUUCAUUGCUAAUGUUCAACAAUAAAGCAUUUUAAUUCUAAAGGAAUUGUUGCUUUUAACUUGAGUGUGAUUAUUUUAGAUCACAUUUUAGAGCCCUCAUGUAGGUCAAUGAUACUUAGAAUUUUUUAUGUCAGAUUACCAUUUUUAAAUGUUCACACCUAAAAUUAGUCUACCAGUCCAAGAUAAAGAAUGGAAGUUUUUUUUUGUACUCCAUUUGAUUUGUUCAAUACUUCACUUUAAUCUUCAAGAUCCAGUAUAUUAUUUUUUAAAUUCUAAAGCAAAUGCUGAAAAGCCACAAUCCAGUAACACAGAAAUGAAUAAUAACACUAAUUUAUUCCUUUCAGAAAACACAAUGAUUGAAAUAUCUUGGAAAUAUUACAAUAUCAUACUGAAUGAGGUUGAUAAGGUAUUACUCUGAGUUUAAGUUCCAACUUAUUAAAUGUAAUAUUUGCUAGUCAUUCUGCAUAGUCAAGCAUAUAGACAGACAUAAUUUGACAGCAAAGGUUUUAUGACAUAGUAGCUAUAAAUAAAAUAUUUGUAAUUUUACAAGAAUCUAAUAUGAUUCAAAACCUAGUAAAGUCUACCUCCCCAAAUCGCUCUUUUCUUUUUUGAUGUAAUUUCUAUUUUUUAUAAAAUAUGUAUCAUAAAUUUGAAUAGAAAAUAUCUAGAUAUGUACACUGUAUAACCAUGCACAAAAGCUAAAGUUCGAUCAAUGAAUUAAUUUUAGUUAUUUUAACUAAAACUGGGCAGUUUAUUCCUACUACUAGAUUGCUCAAAGAGCAACCAAAUGUAAUUGAAGCCAAGCAAUUCACACUAUUUAUAGACAUUUUUCAGAAUCACCUGCUUUGUAGUGAUUUUUUUCAGCAGUUGUAAAGUUUUGAUUUUUAAGAGUCCCUUUGAAGACGUGGCAGAUGUUGGCUUUGCUAAUAAUGCUGGAAAGCGUAGCAGGUUCAAAGUUACAAAAAUGUUUAACACAUAUAAAAUAUAAUGGUGUGUUUUUCUAUUAAAUUUGGUUAUUUUCAAUUGUCAAUAAACUUACAUAAAGGAAGCCUAAAGUCCAUAAAUAUUUGCUUCCAAAACAUGAAGCUGCUAGAGUUUGCAUAUGUGUGUGUCCAUGUGCAUUUGUGGAGGGAAAGUGCAUAAAAUAUAUGCUAGAGAAGCUUACGUAUUAUAGUUUUAAAUCGUUACUAUGAAUAAAAUUGUAAGGUUUAUAAAUAUUUAAGCUGUUUUUCAAUACUUUCUGGUGCUUAAAAUUCUAUUAGAAUUUAACACGGUAAUUAGAAUUAGCACAUACACAUACAGUCUAAGUAUUAGAUGCAGGGAUACAGAAUUUUGGUCCUGACUUUACCCUGGAUUUAUGUACUGAAUUUUCUCUCAACCAUAAAUGCAAAGUAAUUAUAAACUACCUAACAAAAUACAAAUGAUCUCACUAUAUAGGAUGACAUUUUUAUCUAAUACAAUUUUAAAUUUCAGGAGUUCCGAAAUCACUUCAAUUUUAUAUUUUAGAAAUAUUGAAAUACUAAAAUGUGCUAUAAGCAAUGAGAGAUAUACGUAUUAAUAGCAUACCAGGAUCAUAAUCAUUUUCAAUAUUGUUUUAGUUUGUGCUAGAUCAAGAUGUCUAUGAAAUAAAAUAUCUUUGAAGAUAAUUUAUGGAACACCUAAUGCAAUUGUUACACGAGAAAGAUAUCUUUAAUUUAAAUCUAUCUCAAUAUCUGACAAAUAUACCUUCAGCUGAAAUUGGCAAAUAAAAUUUUAUUUUCAAUAAGUGUACAUAGAUUUAAACAGAAACUAUUGUGAUUUUCCUUUUAGUCAAUAUUUCUUCAACAUAUCAAAGGAAAGAAAAGCUCAUUCUAAAUCCCCAGUAUUUUUAUCCUUGGUGAUGACUAAUUGUACUUUCCACUGAAGUUUUAAUCUGUUAAUAAUUUAUGUAGCUGACACAAACACUUAUAUUUGCUUGUUUUUCCAGUACCCUCAUUAUCAGCUUCAAAAUGUAGAAAUGAAUUUAAUUUUGUUAAAUGGUUAUUUCCCACUAAGUUGGGGGGGAGAGAUAAAUUAGUUUUGUUAAAUUAUUCCAUUUUUUAAAAAAAUUAUUAAAAUAAAUUAAGGGAAUCAGUUAUUGAAUUCCGUUUUCUCAGUUUUCCCCAAACAAAAUAACAUGUGCUUGUAUGAAAAUUGUUUGCCCUGAGAAACUUAAGGGCAAUGGCUCAGUUCAGGAAGCAUGAAGAACAAUCUAUCAUGUAGGUUUCUCAUUGCAAGAAAUAAAAUGAACCGUAAGAGCUUAUGGGAAUUGCAAGAGUACGCUCAUCAACCCGAACUGGGAUCUGCUUCCAAAGUUACACUGAUAUCAAAUGUUCAGUUUAUGAAAUUGUCACUGCAUUCUAAAAUCGACUGUUUUUCUAAUAAAAAUUGAAACCUUUUUGCUAUGAUUAACCUUUCAACUCACUAUCUAAAGAGAGUUUCACUUAUAGUUAGGAAAAUACAUUAAAUAUCAGUGACACUACUGGUAAUUUUCUUAUAAAAACUAAUUUGUGAUGGAACAUUAAAAGUUCACCCCCUGACCUUGGAAAAUAAAAGUUAGCUUUUGAGACCGUGAGAGAAGAAUCCAUCCUAUAGUAACGCUGAAGAACAAUUGAUAUUGCUGUGAAUGGUGAAGGAAUAUUAAAUAUGCGGCCAAUCAUUUUCAUUUAUGUGGCAUCUUACCUAAAGCUUUACACACGAUCAACAUUUUUCCAAUCCUUCAAACCAACAUAUGGGAUUACCUUCUAGGACUAUUAUUAACCCAAUUCCACAGAGGAAGAAAAAUAUGCAAAUAUUAUAUUAAACAAAUGACACCUUCCAAAAGUAUUUAAUCCAGGUUGCACUAUACCCACGAAAGAAAACUCACAAGUCUCUUAAUUUUAAAGUAUCUUUUAACAAUUUUAUAAAAAUACAGGUAGGUAAGAGCUUUGAAAACUUGUCUGGAAACUUUGAGUUUCUCUGGAUUGCUACAAUUUAUUCGGCACGUUGUGCCUUCAAGCACCAGAGGUCAGGAAGGUUCCCCUUUUGCAUGGCUGCUCAAAUUAUCCCCACUGAAAUCAGCGCCUCCUGCGCGCACCCUUGCAUACCCCUUUAGACACGUAUCUAACUAACAGUACCCGAGUUGCUGUUGCUUCGCAGUAUUUGUCUCUACUAAUACCCACUUGGUAGAGGGAUUUAUUUUCCACUUUUGAAACUUAGGUUCUGUAAUUAGCUUACACCACAUGGACAUGUACUAUUAAGGUUCGUCUUUCUUCCAGUGUGAGCAUCUAUUUAUUUACAAUUCUCUGACACAUUCCUUAAAAUCUGAAUUCCUAGAUAAUGUCUUCUUCCCCAAUAAAGGGAAAAUUUUACCAUUUGAAAUAGGGUGCUAUUUAAAGAACGCUGAAAUAAGAAUGUUAAAAAAAAAAAACUGAAACUUUUUUUUCUCAUGCGCUCUGCCAAGUUCCAUUGCAAGUUCCAAACAUUGUGCAAUAAUUUGGAAAUCCAGUUAACGAUGGGAAAAAUCGAGCCACUCAGAGUCGGCAACUUGCAAGAGAAAAGUCAAGAAGCGGCACCCGCACGCACGCCUGCCCAACGGACGCUGCAUCCCUGGGCGCACGCCCCUCCCUCCCCAGCGCUGGGAUGGAAGGUCACGCUUCACAAUCGAUUUCACAGCCACUUGUCCUUUUUUAUCAACCUUCUGGUAAACUAGUUUAGGACUUUGGAGGGCUUAGAGCUGCUGGCUGUAUACGCAUUGCUCUCGAAUAAACACGUGUCCCCAAAUAUCAGGACCAAAGCUUCACCGCCGAAUUUGGCCGCAGGAAGCCACAGAGGGCAACACAUUCCCAUCUUCCCUGCUGCCACCCUCCAGUGCGAGAAUCUCCCCUAGUAUCUCUCCGCCCCUUUUCCAGCCCGGCGCGCACUCUCGAGGGUGCCUGGCGCGCCCUUACCUGAGCUGUCGCUUUUCCUCUUGCCGCCGCUUCGCUUCUC